AUGAACGCUAGCGGCAGGCUUAAUACAUGCAAGUUGAGGGGCAGCAUGAUAUACGCGAGUAUAUUGAUGGCGACCGGCGGACGGGUGAGUAAUAGGUAGGAGACCUACCUCAGUACAGGGGGAUAGCAUAGAGAAAUCUGUGGUAAUACCCCAUGAGGUUAUAUGAAUAGAGGCAUAUAAUCAAAGCAUAAGCGAUUAUGCGGUAUGAGAGGGGCCUACUGACCAUUAGCUAGUUGGUGAGGUAAGGGCUCACCAAGGCGAAGAUGGUUAGGGGUUUUGAGAGAGAGACCCCCCACAUUGGAACUGAGAGACGGUCCAGACUCCUACGGGAGGCAGCAGUAGGGAAUAUUGGGCAAUGGGCGAAAGCCUGACCCAGCCAUGCCGCGUGAAGGAAGACGGCCUUAUGGGUUGUAAACUUCUUUACUACGCGAAUAGAGGUUAGUACGAGAUACUAAUAGGAAGGUAGUGUAGUAAAAAGCACCGGCUAACUCCGUG
Molecule: ribosomal RNA, 495 nt
Filed under: uncultured bacterium
Lineage: Bacteria
Description: bacterial SSU rRNA
Rfam family: Bacterial small subunit ribosomal RNA
Source: RNAcentral